RNAcentral lists this ribosomal RNA (253 nucleotides) under uncultured bacterium. RNAcentral describes it as "partial 16S ribosomal RNA". It matches the Rfam family "Bacterial small subunit ribosomal RNA", at positions 524 to 776 of the family's 1533-position model. The record is from RNAcentral.
UACGUAGGGUGCGAGCGUUGUCCGGAUUUAUUGGGCGUAAAGAGCGUGUAGGCGGCUUGGUAGGUCCGCUGUAAAAGUCCAGGGCUCAACCCUGGAAAGCCGGUGGAUACUGUCGGGCUAGAGUCCGGAAGAGGCGAGUGGAAUUCCUGGUGUAGCGGUGGAAUGCGCAGAUAUCAGGAGGAACACCGAUAGCGAAGGCAGCUCGCUGGGACGGUACUGACGCUGAGGCGCGAAAGCGUGGGGAGCGAACAGG